AGACGUCACCUCCCAUUUCCUUAUUAUUUUUGCACGCUCGCCCCAUUCGUCUUCGCUCGUGUCUUCCUCGAGACCCCCACAAGCCUCAUCUCACCACAUCACAUGAAAGCAUAGGUACAUCAAAAGAGCGUGUGUGUAUGCCCUUUGGCUGUGUGGUGUGCGUGUUAUCCCCUCCCCACCCCUUAUUUGUCAAGCGACUGGUUUCUCCUCUCUUUUUUUGUUUGCAUUUCUUAGUUGGAGUCAGGGCGGUUACGACACACGCACCCACGCACGGCAGGGAACCAAAAUUCUUUCAAGUCUUGCACGCACCCCCCCGCCUCUCCGGCCCUUCUCUCUAUCCCCUCUCCCACACACACAGAGACACCGACCCCCCGCCACGCACAGGCGUCACCCGUUCGAGCGAGAAAAUACGAAAAAAAAAACAUAAGGGGAAAAUAAGCAGGGGAAAAAGGCACACGUUAGUUUUUCGAUUUUUUGUUUUCCGCUGUAUUCACUCGAAUCUCUCUCUUGGCCUGAGUGUGUUCUUUCUAUAUAUUCAUAUAUAUAAUUUUGUGUGUGUGUUUGUGUCUGUGCGCUCGCGCGUUUGAGUACCGCCUUGAGUGUGUGCGUUUUUUUUUUCUUUUUUUUUGUGCAGCUGUCGUUGUUUUGGUCUUUACGGCCACAGUGUUCUUGUCUAGGCGUUUGCUUUUGCCCCCUCCUCCCUUGGUUUGUGUUUGUCCUGCACUCCUGCGCAAAGCUGCACGCGCCUGCACGCAUCACAGCAUCCACCUACACGUAUCUCGUAUUUUUUUGUGUGUGUGGAGCUUGUCGUCUUGUGUUCGAGUGUCUGACUGCGCUUCACACGUGCUACCCCACCCCUUCGCUCACAUACGACACUUCACCGCCCCUCCUCCCCACCACGCCUUACCCCAUCCCCCGAUCCCUCCCCUCUCUCUACUUUUCUCGAUUUCGCUUUAUUGGGUUUUUUUUCUUCUGCGCAGAUCGCGCACCAACAAGAAAAAAAGCACAAAAGGAAAGGGCGCAGGGAAAACACCCACAGGCAAAUACAAGCGCACGCGCGUCGUAUGCGGACCCGCUCCGAUCAAGAAAAAAAAGGAAAGGAAAGCACAGCCAUAUAAAAGGGAUUGGGCGGAAAAUCUAGAGGACGAGUGAAAAGAAGAAUAAAACAGAAAAAAAACAAGGAGCGAAUCCGUGAAUAAAAUUUCUCAGGCAACGCGUCUCUCAUCCUCUCCCGUGUUUGCAUCCACCCUUCUAUUCCGCCCAUCUCCUGCUUCGCUUUUCACCACUCAGCACCCCUUUCGCCCUUUCCUCUCGCACUCACUCGGCCCGCCUUUGCUUUGCUCUUUUUGUCUCUCUCUCUCUCUCUGUGUGUGUGUGUGUGUGUGCAGCAGCAUUGAACUCUGUGGGACUCGCGCAGAGUAUCGAGGCAAGAGAGAGAGAUACAAGAAAAAAAAAAUAACGCGGAAGCAUUUCAGCGGAAAAUUGCAAAGCAGGAUUAGACGAGCAUCAAAAACAGGUAAAGGAAGCACGACCAUACCCUUGCGAAGGAACACGGCUACAAAGUUUUUCGCCUUUCCCUCUCGCCCUCGGCCACGCACGUGACAGUAGACGUGGUCUCUCUACUUUUUCCCCCUUUUCUGGCCUGUAUAAGUUCGAUUCUGUUACUUUGUUUCAUUUUCUUUUUUUUUCCUACGGCUCGAGUCUUUCUGCCACCACCACCACCACCCCCUCGUUGCGAGACGUCAAGUAAGCCAAAGCCAACAAGGUGAAUACGGAGAGGGAAACUUUACAUACGCAGGUAGACACGCGUGCAGCAAAGGAAAGAAGGAAUCUCUCAUUUUGGUUUUGUUUUCGGUUCACGUUUUACCAUCAUCGCGCUAACUAAUAAUCAGAAAUUCACAAAUACGCAAGCCAUACACGCAUACACACACGCACUGCAGCACCACGAACAGCGCGAAAGGGAAGCCAGAGAUUGGAAAAAAGGACCUAAGAAAAAGUGUUCGCAUCCGGUUUAAUUCGAAGAGGCGAACGAAGACCCGUCAAGGGCAGCGUAACAAGCAGUCACGCAAAGGCACAAUAAAACAAUAUUUGGAAAGGGAAAAAAACAAGGAAGUUUUUGCUUUCGUGACACGUCGCGCCUCAACACUUUGGCUACUCGACUUUCCUUCUCUUGCUCCCUCCCCCUUUUGCUCGUUCUCGACCUCGUUUACUGCUUCUGAAGUGCACCUGAAUAUAUAUCUCCUCGUCCUUUUCGGCAGCUCACCAUCACCCCUCCUCCACGGUCGCUCUCUCCUUUUUUUUCGUUUCUCUUCGCAGGAGCCUCCUCCUCUUCCCCAUACCGUUGAUCGAUCAUAUUGACAUUAUCUUUCUCUCUUUCCUUUACGCCUGUUCUGCUUUUUUUUUGUUUGGCCGUUUUCUUUUUUUUUGUCUUUCUUUGUUUUUAAUUUCUUCUCUUUGGCCCACUCUCUCUUCUUUUGUGCGACCGUUCUCUAUUUUUCCACUCUCCCUGUUCACCACCCGUCCACCCCUCUCCUCCUCCUCCUCCUCCCCCUCCCCCACGCACACAAAGAGAGCGUGUGUGUUUCUUCUUUAUUUUUCACUUUCACUUGCUAAUCCGCACUGUAAGGAUAUCUUGUCGUUGUUUGUGCCUCUUUUUUCUGUUUUUUUUUUACCAUUUUACUGUGAAAUUCUCCUUUGUGCGUCUACGCCUGUGUCUGUCAGUCUCUGUGUGUGUGUGUGUGUGUGGCUGUUCCUUCGUUUUUGAUUUGCUGUUUUCCGUCAUUGUUGUGCUCUUGUGAAAUUCAGGCAUAUAUAGUAGAAGGAAAACAGAAGUAUUUUUUUCUCUGGUGCACCUGUGUGAUUCCAUCUUUGCGCUUAUCUUUUUUGUUGCUCUUUUUCGUUCUCCUUCUGUUUGCCCUUUUCGCACUGGUCUCGUUUUGUGUGUAGCGGCGGUGGUCUCUCAAACUUCCCUCCCACCCACCCACGCUCGCGAUUAUUAUUUUUUCCCCUGCUUCACGUGCGCUCGUGUCUGUCUGUCUUUGGUGAAGCCUUCCCACCACCCCAAAUAAAAGGAAAAUAAAAGGAAUACUCCUCACAGAGUCAGUGAAGCAUAGCUCCUCUCUCUCUCUCGCUCAAUUGCCCGCUCCAGUUUGUUUUCCUUUUUUUGUGCAUUUUUUUCUGUUUCUCCCUAUCACCUCCCUCCACACACACACACACACACACACAUACACCUCUUUUCGCUUCUUUCCUUGCCCACACGCACGCCGCCCUACGUACAACAUUGGGGUGUUUCUCUGCAUUCUACACUUUUUUUCUUCGUCGUUGCUUCGCCUCGGUGAGUCUCUCUGUCUGUUAUCUUCACUGUGGAACUCUCCCUCAUCCAACGCAGUUGUGUGUGUGUGUGUGUGUAUGUGUGUGUGCAAGCGGAGAACGGAUAAAUAAACGAUAUAAAGCAAAAAAAAAACACACAAAGAAACGGUCAGUGUACAGCACCAAUAAAAGAGUGUGGAAACAGCGUCGUUUUAUUUAGUUUUCUUUCAACUCUACAUAAUUUCUUUUGUACCCUUUUGUGCGCGCUUUCUUUUUUUCUUCCUCGCGUUGCUCGUACUCCGUCUCGUGAAAGGCUUCUCCGUAUUUCUUUUAGUGUUCUCCCUUCUCCUAACUGCAGGUCUCUUGUCUCUUUUUUGUUUAUAUUGUUUGUUCGGCCUGUUUUCAUCUUUCUCCGUUGUUGUUUCUUCGCCCUCCCUCCCUUCUCUUCCUACUUGCGCGUUUGCGUGUCUGUCGUGAGUUUGUACCUCCUCCCACCCCCUUCUCCCUUGCGUUUUGGUUCUUUUUUUCGUUGUCUCUCUCUCUCUUUUCCUGCUUCUGACCCUCACAGACGUGGACAGACGCUCGCACUUAUACGCAACGAAAAGUGUAUAACUGACAACGGAUUACUACAAGAUAAAAGCAUUCUAAGAAAAAAGGGAAAACUCGCUAUACGCACAAGCAAUACGGCUGAAAGGUACACUCCUUCCCCACCCCCUACCUCUUUCUCUGUUUCAUUUUUUUGUUGUUGUUGCUCUCCUCUAUCUUUCUCGUAUUGUCCUCGUGCAGUUUUGUUUGUUUUGCUGGUUCCUUUUCGAAUUUCUUGCUGCCUCUUCUCUCCCUACUUUGGGGUGUUUGCGUCGGACGGCUCCUGUCGGGUCCCUUCUUCUCCCCCUCUCGAUUUCCUUUCAUCAGCUACACAAGCACAGCGUCCGCUCAGCGAUCACAGCACGUCCUGGCACCGCCAACUCUCAAGCAACUUCGCCAACGACACCCUCCACCGCCUUCAACGCGUUCCGCGUGAAAACGAGCGGGCAUAGCACUCAGCACGCCACUAGUGGCCCUACCCCCAAGCAUUCAGCGCCGUAAGAGCCCUGUGAAGACUUCUCCUUCGAAGGUUUCUCGGCCAACGUCACGGGCGCCUACGGCCUUGCUGUGGUCGAGAAGAUUCUCUGGGGUGUCGUCGGCAACCUGGCCCACUCACCCGUCAGCAACAACUGCGCGACGCUGUCCCUCUCCAUGCACACGCCACCCCUCUCAAAUGGAUCCCUGCACGAGCAGGCCCACGCGGCGACGAGCUCCGAGGACAGCCGACGCGAUAGCCUCACACACGCCACCUGGAUCGCCAUUACGUCCCUCACAGGGCAGCAGAACUCGCAGUUUGGCGCCAACGAACGCUCGCCUGGCUGCGCUACCAUCGCGUCGAUCGGCUAUCCGGAAAUGGACUCGUCGCCGUCGUGGCAGUCGCUCUCGAAUCAAGAGUCCUUUAAAGCCGCCCACGCUUCUCCCUCCGGCGCGGCGCCGAACAAAAGCGCCCUCAAAAGCAGCGACGGCAGCGACGGCAGCGCCAGCAACUCCAGUACGAACACACCAACGGCAGUGGCGGCACCGGCUGCCAGCUCCGCACCGAGCAGCAACGCGGCCUCGCACUACAAGACGAAGCGAUGCCGGCACUUUGAUCAGUCUGGAUGGUGCCCGUACCAGCACCGGUGCGUAUUUGCCCACGGUGACCGCGAGUUUGCUCUUUACACGGCACAAAAGAAUGGCGGCAACGGCGGCAACUCCGAGGACGGCGGUCCAACGACCUCGAAGCUCGUGCGAGAGCACAUUGAGCGCAACGUGCAGCAGCUUGUGGAAGAAUACGAGCUGGCUGUGGCGGAGGCGAGCGCCAAGGCUGCGGCGAGGAGCAACAGCGCCGGUGGCCCUUCCCACGCCCACGGUCAUCGAGGCCCACAGAUGGGCAACGGCAGCAAGGGGCCAACGAUGCCCGUUGCCCGAAAAGUGUCGCCCACUCAGCCCUCGCCCCUCUCGUCUGCCACAACACAGCACCACGCAUCGAAUGUACAUAUCCUCACCGCCACCUCUCUGGCGCCUCAAGCCGUGAUGGCGAUCAAGGGCGCGUCGAACUCGAUGGCGCAGUUCCAGGCUUUGCAGCCACAGAACUCUCAGCAGCACCAGACACAUCAGCAGCAGUUUGCCCUCAUUGGCCAGCAGCCCCUUCUCAUCUCCACAGUGAGUGGGGUCCUUGCCGGCUCCACCUUUGCCAUGGUGCCGUCGAGCUCACCACUGGCGGUCACCCCGCAGUCUCUCCACGCUCUCCUUUCGCAUUAUCAGCAGCGGUCGAUGCUGUUCGCGAUGCCGGCUGGCGCGCCGGGUGUCCUCCAGCUACAGCAGCACCAGCAGCAACCGAUCUACUUCAUCGAGGCUCCCUCCUACAAUAGCAUGGCCGCGAACGGCGGCAACGCUGCGGUGCCCGCGUACCCCUCUGGCUACACAAGUGGCCCCGCUGGACUUUUCAACGAUGUUUUGGCGGCUCGCUUCAUGUGACUGCGCAAACCCUCGGCGUUCACGCGAGGAAAAAAAGCAAGGCCACGAAGAGAUAUGCAUCGAAGGGCACGGGGAAAUAGGGAAUGUGGCAAGAGCGGGAGAAGGAAUAGUAGAUAGAUGAUCUUUCGCCCCUUCCCAUCCUCUGCUCUCUCAAGCGUGCUGAGCUUUUUUCACAUGAAUUUUUACUUUUUGUCUGUCUAUUUCCUCAUUUCUUUUUUUUUUCGUUCUGUCUUUGAUUGCUCGGCACGCAGCCCUCACGUUUGCGUCCCCGUGUGUGCGCGUAUGCGGGUAUUUCGGUGUGCUCCUUGUUUGGGAUGCCUCCUUCUUCCUUAUUCUAUAUUGUAUUGCCCUACACCGUUUCUGUUCCUUGUGCGCUCGGGUGCUUUACUGUUCUCAUGUUUAUGCCUUUGUCGUUCUAUUUUCUCUGUGCGUCUGUGUCUCACACGCCCCCCCCCCUUCCUCGCCUCUCUACGUACGAAUUUGUCGCCCCUCUGUCCUCCCCUUCUUUCACACAAUUCGCGCAACAUCAUCGCCAUAAGCAAUAUAAAGUCUUCCAUCUCCUCAGGGAGUAAAAAAAAGCAGCUGCAAUGUUAACGAAAGAAGGCAGAGGCAACUUUUAAGAGGGCUGGCAGUGAAAGGUAGGCAACACACACACACACACACACACAUGCGCACAGCCAUUGAUGUAGAGAGCACGUAAUAACGAAGAAGAUGCGAAGGAAGAAUAUGCAUUUUUUUUUCUUACCAACGUCGCCAUCGCAGCACCACAAAGAAGGCAGGAAAAGUAUGCGUGCAUCGAGAACCACACUUCAACUACCUCUGUUGCACCACGACUACAUUCUGGUUCUGUAGGACGAAACCAUCUGCCGCUGAAUCGGGCCAUGCGUCUAGCGGGUUCUUGUCCUUCCUCGUUCCUUCUUUUGGGUACGUGCUGCGUAAUCGACGCCAGAAGGAGAGUCGCGUGAGCUGCACGCUUCGAUCCUCGCGGCCUUUGUCCAGGGGCCUGCUCGAGAGCAGAAAGCGGUGGCUUCUGGUGUGCAUGUAACACGGUACGGUCCAGGCGCAUGCCGGAUGAGCUCAAGGAAACAGUUGGCCAGCCGCAGGCCAGGGCCCACUGAGACCCCUUGCACACUCUGCCCGUAUGCCGUGCUUCGCCCUUUCAGUGGCUUCAAGCCGUGGCAUCCCAUAAUCUGCUCCGGAGACCCGUCACAUUCGGGUCUGGAGGACUCGAUGGUGCCAGUCUGGGGUGUUCUCGUCACGCCUCCGGCAUCUGUGCCGCAUCAGCCUACCCGGUCGGAUGUAGGGCGUAUGCCGCAUGCUUCGCGCACAUGCACUUUGGGGUUGAUCGGCGCGGAUCUCCUCGCGCCGUUUCCGUGCAUCGCUCGUACUCCGCUGACCUCUGGAUGCUUUGCUUGGAUGCGAAACACCAUGCUGGCUGUGCAUGGCAGCGCGUGCGCACAAUGAUCGCACUAGUGGAUCUUGGGGCCUGCUACGGGGGCGGCGUUGCUGCCUCGGGGGGCGUGGUUGGACGGCCUGCGCGCAUGUGCCGCGAUGGUUAGGCCACUGCCAUGAAUCUAUGUCAGUAGGCGGGGGAGGGGCAUACCGCCUUCUCCGAAGCCCGCACGCCUCUGGCUGCAGUGAGUGUGUCGAGCGGAGGGAGAGGGCCCGCGGAUAAGCACGUGGCUGCGCACGAAGAGGAAGGAAAACGACAGGAGGGAACAAAAGACGCAACACGGAAGAUGAACGUUUUGCUUGGGCAAUCUCGCUCUCCUCAGUUCUCUGAAGCCGUUUUUUUUUUCUUUUGCUGGCUCUUUGUAUCUACGUAGUUUCCGCUAGUGCUCUUGUUUCCUACGUUGUCCCUAUUUAUCUUUCUCGUCUCUUACCACCUUCUUCACACCCCCACACCCGCUUUUCACAAUCGCUGUCUACACGAAAGAAAAAAAAACUAUAUUGUCCCUUUUUCUUCUUCCGUUGUACAGGUCUGUAUAUAAAUCCGUUUACCUGUGUGUGCGCACGUCUUCCUUCUUUUUUUUUUACACGCGUGGGGAUUUAGUGGUGAGUGUUUGGCUCCAUGUGCUAUCUUCUUCCCCACCCACUCACUUCCCUAUCCCCACUCCCCUCCCUCUCCCUUGUUCACAGACCCUAUACGACUCCGUGUUCUUCUCGUUCUUGGCGCUCCUUCUUUCUCUCUCCGCACGGUCGUUGUUUCGUUUUUUGUGUCUUCUCCCUCCUUGGUUUUUUUACACUCGUGUGGGUGUCGAUAUUAGCACCCUCGUUUGGUUUUGAACUUUUCUUUGGUGUGGGUGUGUGUCUUCCUGAUGGUUGUCGUUGUUCUGCAUGUGACGCAUUUCUUUUUUGAUUAUUGGCUUGUAUUCGGUCUCUAUAACGCUGAGUCCACUUUUUCUUUAUGGUGACUUUGGUUGUGCAGAAGCGUGUCCUGUCCUCUGCUUCCUCUCGGCCUCACUUACUUGUUUACUCCUUCGCCUAUCUACCUACACACCUACAUACCCCCUCCCCCUUCUCCCUCUCCUUAUUCUUUCCUCUCCGCCUUCUUUAUUCACUAUCAACCCAACGCACCGUGUCUUCAGCUGUCUCUCUCUCCGUCUCGCCUCUUCUAUUUCCACGCCUUCUUUCUGAUCUUCUCCCUCGUGUGUGCAUGUGUUUGUGCGUGUGUUCUCCUCGCCUUACUCUUGUCCUCACCCCUUCCGCUCUUUUUCAUUUCAGACGUGCCUCACAGACAAACGCAAGUGUGGGUCGUCGUGCACGCUUAGAUUGGGCAGAAGGUAAAGGAGGGCAGAGGGAGGCCUUCCUCCUCUGGCUCCCUUUCGCCGGGGUUGCUGUGUGUUUGUGUCUUUUUGGUGUAUGCUGUCCAUUCCCCUGCUCAUGUACGUCACGUUGUUUCUCCCGAGUUUUCUGCGAAGCGUGUGUGUAUGCCUUUUGGGGCUCUAAUCUCGUGUUUUCUCUCUUGCUCCCUGACUCACUGUGCUUCCGCCAGGCAAGCGCAGCCGUUGUUUCUUCCUCCCUCACCCCAGAUACACUACGUUGCUCUAUUUCCGUUGACAGUCACCAUGGACGCACGUGCGCCUUUUACUUUCCCCACCUCCCUGUUGCGCUGGCUGCUGCGUUGCCCACCCCCCCCCAUCAGAUUAUUUUUGUUUGCUGGCGUUCUCGUUCUUGCGAGAUAUUUGCGCCUUGUGCACCAAACGGAGCCACGUACACGCUACAUGUUGUUGUGCGUGGAUGUGCGCAAGCGUUGGCGUGCAUGUUUGAUUGUGCGAAAGUGGGUUGCCGACGAGUCGGCCCUUCCGUACAUGUCCCUCUGCCCUCCUCAUCUCCACUCAUCAACCAGAUUCAAACCGCUGUUGUUUGUUCGACCCUUCGACGCUGCUUUCUCUCUUUUAUGUGUGUUUUAUUUGUGUGUGUGUGUGUGUGUGUGUGUGUGUGUGCUCGUCUUGUCUUUCUUUCCCCGAUUAAGAAAAAUAUCGUGCUCUCUCCCUCUCGUUGUUACCUUCUCAGCCGUGUCGCGCUGAAUGCUGAGCACCUUUUUUGUUGUUGCUAUUGUCCUCUGAUUGUUUCUUGCUUCUUCGCUCUCUGGCUCUCCCAAAACCCAUACAGACACAGAGGCCCACACACAUGCACACGCACAUGUAUCUGCCUACCGUUCUAGGAACAAGGUAAAGACCUCUCUCGCCCUUCCCCUUCGCGCGGGUACGUAUGUGCGUAUAUGUGUGUGCGUGUAUGUGUGCAUAGAUGGGGGAAGUUAUUCGAUUCUGUCGCUGUUGCUUUCUUUUUUUUUCGCUUCCUGUUCCCGACGGGGCUUCUCCUCGCUUCUCUCUUCCACUAUUUUUUGGCGCGCAUUCCCAUCUCUUUUUUGAGGAUGUAGGCGUAUCCCAGUCAACCCCUCCCCCUUCAUUUAGCACCUUUAUACACACGUGUAUGCGGCAUGCAUGGCCCACCUUACUCGUGAAGAACAGCGGGGCACGCAGGCAACUGGUCGCACUGGAGCGCAGUAGGGUAAGGCCUCCCUACAAGCUCACACCCACCGUUUUUCUACUCCCCACACCCCGCACGCUCUGCCCUGAUGCCUUUUCUCUCCUAGUCAUUUUCAGUGCUACCGGAAUCCUCGAAGAGAAGUAAAGCAAGAAGGCGAAGAGAAAAUCACCGAAAGCACGCCGCCACCCGCUCGGUGCUAGUGGGCAUCUGUUCUUCAUAUCCAUCUUACUUUUCUGGUGAUUUCGUUUUUACUCUCUGGUCCGGCAGGUACGUGCGCGUGCACAUCUCUCGUGGGAGGACUGCACAACGUGUUUUAUUUCGUUUCUAGCGCUCACGUACGCACAAGGACGCACACAUGCACGGCACUCACGACGAGCCGGAUACACGGCAAAGACAAAAAUGCCAAUAAGAGAUACGCAUAGCACUCGUAAGUAGAUACGUGUCUGCUUUCCUCUUUCUGUAUUUAUAUGUGUUCUUUUCUUUUGAGCGCACCUGUGUAUCGCUGUGUCCUUUUUCUCUCUCCCCUCCCCUCCUUCCCCCCCCCACACACACAAAAACAUCUCGGCUGCGCGUGUGUGUUGAAAGCAACAACAGAGAGCAGGAAAGUAGAGCGUCGAGGGUGAAGAAAUUACCUGUAUGGUUCUUUUAUUUGUUUCUCCGUUUGUGUGUGUGUGUGCGUGCCUGUGUCUGUGUUUUGCUUCAUGUUGGUUUGUCUUUGUUCGCGUGUUUGCUGUCUUCUAUGGUUCUUCCGGCGCUUCCUUCCUCUCUCUUCGUCUUCCACCCACCCACCCACACCCAUCAUCAUCCCUCCUUUUCUUUGUUCCCUUGUUUGCCUCUUCUCGUAUACAUGGUUUCCCUUUCCUUUUUUGGUUUCGUGUACCUCGACUCUCUGGAUAUAUAUAUAUAUGUGUGUUUGUCUCUACCUAUCUGUGUAUGUCCUGUCUGAGUGGGUCCCCCCUUCCCCUCCUCUUCCAUUACCAUCUCUCUCCCCAUAUUGUUUCUCAGCUUUUCCAACCUCUGUAUCUCUCUCUUAUUUUUUUUAUUCUUUGACUCCUCCCUCGGAUUCCGUUCAUAGCCACCACAUGGCUGCAUCUCUCGCGCCUUGUUUAGCUCGGUUGCUUUUUAAUAUAUACAUAUACAUAUAUAUAUAUAUAUGUGUGUGUAUGUGUUUUCUCUCUCUCGUUCUGUUGCUCUCCGUGGGUGUUUUCUUCUUUCGCCUUCUCUCCAUCUUCCGGGUCGACUUCCCUUUUUUUCCUUUCGGCUGCUGUGGCACGUGUUUGGGUGUAUGUCUGGAUUUGUGUGCGUGCGCGUCUGCAUCUUCCAACCCUAUCUCUCUACCCUACCCCCUCCCUCCAACCUUGUAGGGUCUCCUUCCUCUUGUCGUCUCCGGUUUGCUGUACUGCGUCCCUCCACAGCUUUCGGUGUGCGCUACUGGUUAUUUCCUGGGCAUCCGCAUCCCUUGCUUUACUCGGACAUGUAAGUGUCAAGGAAUGCACGUACCCUUACUUCCAAUGGUGCCAUCCUAUUCCCUUCGACGACGCCGCAUCUCUCUCCACGCACACACUCAUGAGCACCUGCCAUGGCAGCGGGCCAAAAACAAUAAAGGAAACAGAUCCUUUUGUUUUCACUGUCACCUAACAAUCCCGUUCACCCACGCGCUGUGGUCGACUCCCUCCUCCUGCCAUCCCUCGUUUAGGUUGGCUGAGGGCGGACGAGGCUGUGCGUCUCUGUCCGUUCUCUCUCUUUUUUUCGCUUCUGUGGCUUUCCCUUCCGUUCUCUUUUUUGCUCCUCCACCCUGCGCUCGACGUUCCCCUCUUUUUUUUCAUUUUCCCCUUUUUUUCUCUGUGUGUGUGUGUGUGAGCUUUUGAUCUCGCUGUGUGAUGUGUACGUCGUAUCUACCACACUUUCGCAACCUCCACCCCCUCCCCUUCCCCCUCCGUCUCUCUUCUUUUUGUUUAGCACGGAUGGCGUAAGGAGGGUUUGUCUCCUUUUUACGUCCAUCGCCCCUCCCUCCCUCUAUGCGUCACUGCUUUCGCGCAUGCCUUUUUUGUGUGUGUCCAGGUUUGUGUCUCUGCGUGUGUCCACUGAUGUUUUCCUUCUCCCGCAGCUCUCAAGAAAAAAAAAGAAGGUAGAACAAAACGCAAAUACGCACGAAAAGGAACGUCUUCUCUCCUCGUUUCCCAAUUAAGCGUUCACAUAAGCUCCCCUGUUGGCGCCUCGCCCCCCCCGCCCUUCUCCGCCUCCGUUUUGUCGUGUGCGUGGUCGCAGUUUGCUAGCCUUACGAUGUUUUCUUCCUCUUGUUGCUGAUCUCUUGGAGCACCGAUGGCUGUCGCGGCUAACGCUCCCCUUUCCUGAGUGCACAAGCAUAGAGAAACACAUACGGUGACGCGGACAUGCACUCGAGCAUCCAUACGUACCUCGAUUUUGUCUUUGUCUGGGUCUUUUUCUCUUUACUUUUUUCUUCUUUGUGUCUCUAUGUGCCUAUGUAUGCGUGCGCGUGGAUGAAGAAUGUGACUUGCCUUUCCUCCAUCCCUCUCUCAUAACACACUAGGUAGCUGUUCCUGUCUUCACUCUGAGACACGCUCAGACAGACAAACAUACAUAAGCUCCAGUCUUUCCUUUUUUUUUCGACGCUUGCUAGUCCUGCGUCUGCGUCCCUUUCGACCGUGCGAGGGAUGCAGUGCAGCGGGCAGGAGUACGUGCGUGUGAGCGUGUACUUCUUUCUCUUCUUGCUCUAUUUUUUGUUUUUUUUUGUUUUCGUUUAUUUCUGUUCGACUUUGCUUGCUUUUUUUUUGCUGUUGUUGCUUUUUGUGGUUGAUUUUGCCUUUAUUUACCUUUUUUUGUUUUCGUGUUCGGUUUUUUCCCGAUUCUCUCAUGCGGCGGUUCUAGCCUCCUUUUAUGGAUCUGGCCCUUUCUGUGUGUGUGUGUGUGUUCUUGCUUGGUUGCUUGCAGGGUAUCUUAUCUGACCCUCUGGACCGCCCGGUGUGUGCACGUAUGCAUGCUUCCAGUGUUCAAACGCAAAAACUUCACGUGCACACAUACACACAUAAUGCAGAAGCCGUCGUCUGGAUUGUACUGUUGCGAGUCGUUCUCAGCACAUCUGGGUGUGUCGUCUUUUUGUUGUUGUCUCUUUGUUAGCAGCCUUCUCUAGUAUGUGUGCGUGUGUGUGUGUUUGAACUCGAUCCUCCAUGUGAGAUGCUCCCCUUUAAUGUAUCCUGCUGUGCGUGACUGGGUGCAUGUGCAUUUGCUUGUCUGCGAGUGUGCAUGUCCUUGGUUGUGGUGACGAGGCAUCUAUUUUUUUUUCCGCCUCUUUCACCUUCUUUGCCUCUCGUGUUUCUCGCCUCAACAUAGCUGUUCCGCUCUGCGCGUUAACUCAAUGUCUUUCUGACUCCGUCCACUUCUCUUUUGUUCUCCUCUGUAUGUUUGAUCUUACGUCUCUACCCCAUCACCGCUACCUUUUUUUUUUCUCUCUCUCUCUCGCUCCACAGCCAUGGCGGGUGUGCAGGUCUUUGCGAACGUGUCUUCCCCGACUAAAAAAAAAUAUUUCCGUCACCCUCCCUCUUCUGUCUUCACCCCUGCGACACUUUGCUGUUGUCUACGACGUUGUGCUCCCGAGAUAAGCAAGCUCGCUUUCUCUCGCUCCCUGUUCAGACUCCGUUUUCCUCCUCCUCUUUUCGCUCACCAACCCCCGCGCACCCCGUCUUCCCCUUGCAAGUAUUGAGGACGUGUGUGUGAGUGUGGGUGUGUCUUGACAGCUUGCGUACUACCGUCUCCUAUUUUACUGUCUUGUGUCUGUACGCAUGUUGUCAGCGCGGGUAUUUUGUCUGUCUGUCAGGGGAGAGAAGACCCUUUAGAUACUGUCAGGCUUCCCCCCUUCCCCACCCCUCUUUUCCUGUGCCACACGAGUUAUGUGGUGGGGAGAUGUGUCGCAUGCAAAAUACAUAGAGCGUGUGCCUGUGUAAGCGUACGGUUACAUUAUUUUUCCCCUCUUUGAGAGGAGGAGGGUGGUAGCGCUAAGUAGUAUGUAUGUGUACAUGUGCCUGCGUCUUUUGCCCUCCAACCACCACCGCCACUUUCUUUUUCUUCGUGUGUGCGCGCUUUUUUGGGGGGCAACGGAAAGAGGCUUAGAAGUACAGCAACGCCGUCUGCGGGAGGGGGAGCGGCUUUCGAGGCCGGCUAGCUGAUCUCCGUCUUGCUUGUCUCUUUUUCUUGCUUAUAUUACCAUCCAUUCGACCUACCCCCAACCCCGUCGCUUCUCCUUCCCACGCCGCGCACGGUUGAUACUCCUUUGUUUCCUUUCUUUGUGUGUGUGUGCGCGCGCUCAUGUGUUAUCACUGCCUUUACUUUGUUUUGCUUGCUCCUUGUUGGUCCCUCUUGUGUGGCCACGUCUUGAUUAGUUCUGUGUUUUCCGGCUCUCUUCUACUUUACCGCGCCCCUCCCUUGCGGUUCGUUUCUCUUACAUACGUGUGGGAUGGCCCAUACGCUGGGGCUUACUUUCUUUCCCCUCUUCCCUCUUUGGUUUGGUGUCGCCUCUCUUCUUUGUCUCCCUGUGGGUCUUUUCUUUCGUGUUGUUGUUGCUGAGACCUUUUCUUUUUGAAAUCGAAACGUUAUCGCUCCCCUCUAGACGCUAUCAAGACACAAGGACGACGACUUCUAUUACCGCUCUCACCGCCACUAUCACCGCACUGCACACAGAACGCAUUCAGGAUCGCUAAGCAAGUAAUGGAUGAAAAAAAAAGGAAAGCAGGCAAGUAUGGUGUGUGCGUGUGUGGCAUUCUAAGGAAGUGUAUGUGUGCCACCACCAACAAUUUCAGAAUAAAACUCUUCAUGUGUGUUUGUCUUCUUUUUCCGCAUUACUGUUGCUGGUGUGUUUUGUUCGCCCUCGUGUUUUGUUGCUUUCCAUCGUAUUGUACAAGCACGUUCCGUAUUCUCUACCACCACCACCACCUCAGUCAGUCACCGAUGUAUUCGCAAGUGUCUUCCUCACUCCCUCUCGCCGUCUAGGGCCCAUCUAUUCGCCGAUGUGUGUUCCUUUUUUUUCCUCUCUGCUGCGAGCUCUGCGAUGCUGCUCGUUUCGGCUUUUGGGGGGUUGUCACGUUGACUGUCACAGCUGUCUCUUCUCCUUGCCUUUUAACUCCCCUCUACGCUCCCUUCGGGCCCGGUAUGCAUGCUGCCUCUCUCUCUGUCUCGUUGCCGUGUAUGGUGUCUGCCUACACGUUUAUGGGAGUGCGUAUCCGUCGAUAG
RNAcentral lists this unclassified non-coding RNA (15090 nucleotides) under Leishmania donovani. RNAcentral describes it as "gene:LdHU3.35.1310(CDS-product:Zinc_finger_C-x8-C -x5-C-x3-H_type_(and_similar)_putative)". Lineage: Eukaryota; Euglenozoa; Kinetoplastea; Trypanosomatida; Trypanosomatidae. The record is from RNAcentral.